GAUAGAAGCCAAUGGCAUGCAUUUAACAUGGACCUACUGCUCAAAAACAUUCGCAUCCUAUCCACAGUCACCAGCAUCCACCACAAUUAAAGGAAAAAGGGCUUCUGUUCUGAGCAAGUUCUACCAAUUACCCGAAGAAGGAGUUUUAUCCUGUAUGCUUUCAGCAUCCAAACUACCACCCCUCAAAGUCUACAGAAAAGCUUCACUAACUUCAGAAGGCAUUCACGAUCUAUCCCAGUGAAGAUCUUCAGAUCUGAUAUACGUACACCCUCUCCCUUCGCAACAACAAGCACACUGAAAAGGGAUAGGACUUAGGCAGAGCAAAGAAUUCUUGCAAAAUGUCUUGGAAAAGAUAACUCAGACCACUGGAGUGAAAUGACAUAUUUUCUUUAGAUAAUAAUAAAAUGUGUCCCUAAAAUGUCA
This 423-nucleotide long non-coding RNA is filed under the name Crocodylus porosus (Australian saltwater crocodile). RNAcentral describes it as "lncRNA (ENSCPRG00005005141.1)". Lineage: Eukaryota; Metazoa; Chordata; Crocodylia; Crocodylidae. The record is from RNAcentral.